UACGUAGGUGGCAAGCGUUGUCCGGAAUUACUGGGCGUAAAGCGCGUGUAGGCGGCUAUGCAAGUCGGGUGUGAAAUCCCACGGCUCAACCGUGGAAGUGCACUCGAAACUACGUAGCUGGAGUUCUGGAGAGGAAGGUGGAAUGCUCGGUGUAGAGGUGAAAUUCGUAGAUAUCGAGUGGAACACCGGUGGCGAAGGCGGCCUUCUGGACAGAAACUGACGCUGAGACGCGAAAGCGUGGGGAGCAAACAGG
This 253-nucleotide ribosomal RNA is filed under the name uncultured bacterium. Its description in RNAcentral is "partial 16S ribosomal RNA". It matches the Rfam family "Bacterial small subunit ribosomal RNA", at positions 524 to 776 of the family's 1533-position model. The record is from RNAcentral.